AAGAAUUACAGCUGACAUCCACGUGGGCUAAAUACCUAUCAUCAUAAUUGUCUCUCACCUGAAUGCCUUUUACUGACGUGAUGUCACAAGUGGCCCUAAUCGCUGGCUCUAGCUUCCUUAACAUGCUCACAUGUUCGAAAUCUAAAUCUUAAAUUCUUCAGACCCUUUCCACAGGACUGAUUGGAAACCAGCUGAGAGAGUAAAUGAUAUAGUGGAAAGGGGGACGCAAUUAAAGAAAUCGGCGAAAGGAAGGUGGUCAUCACGAACCAUCCCAGCUGCUGGUCAACUCUGUUUAGUCAAGUCGGAAGAGAUGGAAUGGCAAGCAGGGAAGAAAGUGAAUCAAUGAUUCACCCAAUGGACAAAGAAACAUCACAGCGACUAUUUGGAAAAGUCAAAUGCGGGAAAGGAACAUUCUCAUCUAAAGGUGUGCUCUGACUUUAGAAAGGAAAACGUCCCACAAGAAAAUCAGGAAUUUUGUUGAAGUGCUCUGGUUGAACCUGCAGAAAGCAAUGGCAUGUUCCCUCUCUCCCUGCUUCUUCUGUUUUAUUGCUUUUGUGUUGUACUUCUAAAAUAAAUAUCAAUAAAUCAUUGCAGUUAGAUACUCUAAUAUAGACAGAAAUGUACUUGACUCCCUACAGUCAUUACAAUUGGAGGGGACUCUGAUUAGGAUGCUUUACUUAAUUAAGUGAUAUCGUCUAAAGAGAGUUCUUCCCUCCAUUUUCUGUUUAACAGUCUUAUAAAACACCAACAGAGGAAAUUCAUUCUGUUGUUUGCUUUCCUUAUUGUAAAUGGUUUAUUCUCAUUCAUAGUUUACA
RNAcentral lists this long non-coding RNA (815 nucleotides) under Ailuropoda melanoleuca (giant panda). Its description in RNAcentral is "lncRNA (ENSAMEG00000026342.1)". Lineage: Eukaryota; Metazoa; Chordata; Mammalia; Carnivora; Ursidae. The record is from RNAcentral.